UUUACACACAUAAUGAGGAACACGUAAGUUAUUUAUCUCCAACUUCCAAGUUUAUAUUCUUGUGCAUUUUAAGUAGACUUUUAUUUUUUCUUAGAUCUUAGGGUUAGAUUUGUUUGAACAUUAGUUAUUGUGGUAUGAUUGACCAAGUUUAUUUGGUCCUAUGGAAUGUAGUUCCUAAUUUUUAUUUAAGCUCUCUUGGUGGAUGUAAUUUCCGUAUGCUAUCUUUUAUUUUUUAAAAAAUUGUACUCAGUUUUAAAAGUUUGAGUAAAAUCAAUCCAAUUCUCUUUGAGCUACGAAGAUUUUGUUUGUUAAUUGUCUUGGGCUUUAAUAUAUGAAGUGGAAGCGUCUAUUAAAAAUGCAAUUGUUAUUUGUUUAUCGAUCUUUGUUAUUUGAUUUCUUAUACUCUAUUUCACAGUUAUUUUAUAUUAUUAUUUGAUUGAAAUUGUCAA
RNAcentral lists this unclassified non-coding RNA (449 nucleotides) under Hevea brasiliensis (rubber tree). The record is from RNAcentral. Lineage: Eukaryota; Viridiplantae; Streptophyta; Magnoliopsida; Malpighiales; Euphorbiaceae.